ACGCUCGACACCUACGGGAUGCAGCAGUGAGGAAUAUUGGUCAAUGGACGCAAGUCUGAACCAGCCAUGCCGCGUGCAGGAUGACGGCUCUAUGAGUUGUAAACUGCUUUUGUACGAGGGUAAACGCAGAUACGUGUAUCUGUCUGAAAGUAUCGUACGAAUAAGGAUCGGCUAACUCCGUGCUAGCAGCCGCGGUAAUCUGAGCGGGCUGGCAAGGC
RNAcentral lists this ribosomal RNA (218 nucleotides) under uncultured bacterium. Its description in RNAcentral is "partial 16S ribosomal RNA". It matches the Rfam family "Bacterial small subunit ribosomal RNA", at positions 326 to 539 of the family's 1533-position model. The record is from RNAcentral.